UGCUGGGAUUAAAGGUGUGUGCCACCAUUGCCCACCCUAGCUUUUAUUAACCAGGCAGCACCAGAUAUUAAGAAAAAGCUCCAGAGGGUUGAGAGGUUUGGAGAAAGAAGUCUAAGGGACUUAGUGAUAGUGGCAGAGAAAGUAUUUAAUGGAAGAAAGAAUGCAGAGGAGAAGCAGAUGAGAGGACAGAAGCAACAGACUCAAGACCUGGCAAAGAUCCUGUUGGCAGACAUGGUCAAACCAGAAGACCAUAGGAGAUGACUAAAACAGCUUCAGAAGAAACAGGAUAACUUCUCAGCUGCCCUGCUGCCUGACCCUGACCUCGGUCAAUGGGCCUCUGCAUGCUGCUCGGAUGGAUGCAGAGGUCCACUUCCAGAGCUCCACCAACUUUAUCCCAGAGAUUGGGUCCUAGUCAAGAGAUACUGCCAGGGGUCACUAGAGCUUCCUGUGCAGCAUGGAUCUACCACACAUCCAUUUGCAGUUGAAGACGACUCUGGCCAGCAGGGGGAAAAUUCAGCCUCAAGACUCUCUUCUGUCUCCCACUGAUGGGCCCCUACCCAUGCCCCAGGGACAGCACAAAAACAUAGCCCUGUUACUGUUCUCAUGAAGCUUCAGGAAGUCCCAUGAUUGGGCCUUCUAGUCACAAAAGAAUGGGGGAGGGGUGUGAGAGGCCAAAUCUUUUAAGUUCAGAUUCCAUUUUAGAGAUCUUGACUUAAGUCUGAACUCAGGUAAACUAACAGGCUGGUACCUAGCAUUAGUUUCCAAGUUGCCCCCAACAAAACCCAAGCCUAGCUCCAAUCUCCAAGCUAAUCCCCAAAAAGACCAGGUUACACCAUCAACAAGACCAGCAGCAUCUCCAGGUUAUUCCCCCAACAAAUCUAUACCCCCAGGUUACAAGCCAAGCCCCUGCCUAUUGAUUACCAGUGCAGAGGUGAAAAGACAUUAAGUCUUGUAUUUAUGAUCUGACUCCCAGUACCAGCCAAUUAUGUAAAAGGCCACAGUAGCUUUUCAAUUAGAUGUUUGCACACUUACCCCACUUGCUGCUUACUAUAAAGCCUUGCCCUAAUAGAUAUUUGGGGCUCCCCACCACCAAAACUGUCCUGCAUG
Molecule: long non-coding RNA, 1107 nt
Organism: Grammomys surdaster
Lineage: Eukaryota; Metazoa; Chordata; Mammalia; Rodentia; Muridae
Exons: 3
Source: RefSeq, a predicted model, not a curated record